UAAGGAAUAUUGGACAAUGGGCGAGAGCCUGAUCCAGCCAUGCCGCGUGCAGGAAGAAGGCCCUAUGGGUCGUAAACUGCUUUUGAACGAGAGAAAACCCGAGUACGUGUACUCGGCUGAUAGUAUCGUUAGAAUAAGCAUCGGCUAACUUCGUGCCAGCAGCCGCGGUAAGACGAAGGAUGCAAGCGUUAUCCGGAUUCAUUGGGUUUAAAGGGAGCGUAGGCGGACUUGUAAGUCAGUGGUGAAAUCUUUGGGCUUAACCCAGAAACUGCCAUUGAUACUGCAGGUCUAGAGUACAGUUGCCGUUGGCGGAAUAUGACAUGUAGUGGUGAAAUACUUAGAUAUGUCAUAGAACACCGAUUGCGAAGGCAGCUAACGAAGCUGUAACUGACGCUGAGGCUCGAAAGUGCGGGGAUCAAACA
This 422-nucleotide ribosomal RNA is filed under the name uncultured bacterium. RNAcentral describes it as "bacterial SSU rRNA". It matches the Rfam family "Bacterial small subunit ribosomal RNA", at positions 355 to 774 of the family's 1533-position model. The record is from RNAcentral.